RNAcentral lists this transfer RNA (72 nucleotides) under Dipodomys ordii (Ord's kangaroo rat). It matches the Rfam family "tRNA". Rfam says of the family: Transfer RNA (tRNA) molecules are approximately 80 nucleotides in length. Their secondary structure includes four short double-helical elements and three loops (D, anti-codon, and T loops). The record is from Rfam by way of RNAcentral. Lineage: Eukaryota; Metazoa; Chordata; Mammalia; Rodentia; Heteromyidae.
AGGAGUGUAGCUCAGUGGUAGAGCACUUGCCUAGCAUAUGCGAGGCCCUGGGUUCAAUCCCCAGCACUGCAA